Molecule: ribosomal RNA, 414 nt
Filed under: bacterium enrichment culture clone ALO1_GLFRUDD03F202N
Lineage: Bacteria
Description: bacterial SSU rRNA
Rfam family: Bacterial small subunit ribosomal RNA
Source: RNAcentral
GAGUUUGAUCUUGGCUCAGAUUGAACGCUGGCGGCAUGCCUUACACAUGCAAGUCGAACGGCAGCACGGGAGCUUGCUCCUGGUGGCGAGUGGCGAACGGGUGAGUAAUGCAUCGGAACGUAUCCUGGGAGUGGGGGGAUAACGUAGCGAAAGUUACGCUAAUACCGCAUAUUCUGUGAGCAGGAAAGCGGGGGACCUUCGGGCCUCGCGCUCUUGGAGCGGCCGAUGUCGGAUUAGCUAGUUGGUGAGGUAAAGGCUCACCAAGGCGACGAUCCGUAGCAGGUCUGAGAGGAUGAUCUGCCACACUGGAACUGAGACACGGUCCAGACUCCUACGGGAGGCAGCAGUGGGGAAUUUUGGACAAUGGGGGGCAACCCCGUGACUCCACGCCAUCGCCGCGUGAGUAGAAGGAAC